Molecule: long non-coding RNA, 578 nt
Organism: Tachysurus fulvidraco (yellow catfish)
Lineage: Eukaryota; Metazoa; Chordata; Actinopteri; Siluriformes; Bagridae
Exons: 6
Source: RefSeq, a predicted model, not a curated record
AAUCUGUGCCAGCUUUUUGAGGCCGACCACGUGUUUGUGUAACGUGUGUCGGUGUAAAUCCUCCUGCAGUAUAAACAUAAAAAUAUGCCUUUACUACUAGUUUAAUAUUUACUCCUGAAUAUGUAUAACACCUGGGGAUUAAAUCUGGUGCUCCUAUCACGUGAGCUGGAAUGGAAAUGAAGUGCAACAUAAAUGCAACAUGGCUGAUGUUAAGAGCACGUGGCUUGGACUUCCAGCCACCUGACUGAGGUGUUCUAUGCUGAAUCUGAUGUUUCUUCACUUCGGUAGAAAAGCAGCUGGUUAGAAACUAGCACCAAACCUGAACAGUCACUACAGGUUCAGAUGUUCACAGGAGCCGAAAGGGAGCCGAACGAACAACGACGAAAUGCCACCUUAAAUAUGGAGGUGCUGCAGCUGUGUCCUGACAUCCAGAUCAUCAGCGGGUCUACGUUCAGCACAGACGUGUUUUUAUCUGCUAGUACAUUUAAUGAUUGAUGUUGACUGCAUUGUCUUUACCGAUGUGUAAAAGUAGUCGUUAGAUCUUUUCUGUAAAGCAAAUAAAUGUGUGAAAGCCUGUA